UAGAGUUUGAUCCUGGCUCAGAGUGAACGCUGGCGGUAGGCCUAACACAUGCAAGUCGAACGGCAGCACAGUAAGAGCUUGCUCUUAUGGGUGGCGAGUGGCGGACGGGUGAGGAAUACAUCGGAAUCUACUUUUUCGUGGGGGAUAACGUAGGGAAACUUACGCUAAUACCGCAUACGACCUACGGGUGAAAGCAGGGGAUCUUCGGACCUUGCGCGAUUGAAUGAGCCGAUGUCGGAUUAGCUAGUUGGCGGGGUAAAGGCCCACCAAGGCGACGAUCCGUAGCUGGUCUGAGAGGAUGAUCAGCCACACUGGAACUGAGACACGGUCCAGACUCCUACGGGAGGCAGCAGUGGGGAAUAUUGGACAAUGGGCGCAAGCCUGAUCCAGCCAUACCGCGUGGGUGAAGAAGGCCUUCGGGUUGUAAAGCCCUUUUGUUGGGAAAGAAAUCCAGCCGGCUAAUACCUGGUUGGGAUGACGGUACCCAAAGAAUAAGCACCGGCUAACUUCGUGCCAGCAGCCGCGGUAAUACGAAGGGUGCAAGCGUUACUCGGAAUUACUGGGCGUAAAGCGUGCGUAGGUGGUUGUUUAAGUCUGUUGUGAAAGCCCUGGGCUCAACCUGGGAACUGCAGUGGAAACUGGACAACUAGAGUGUGGUAGAG
Molecule: ribosomal RNA, 662 nt
Filed under: Stenotrophomonas sp. MS192a
Lineage: Bacteria; Pseudomonadati; Pseudomonadota; Gammaproteobacteria; Lysobacterales; Lysobacteraceae
Description: bacterial SSU rRNA
Rfam family: Bacterial small subunit ribosomal RNA
Source: RNAcentral